GACGAACGCUGGCGGCGUGCCUAAUACAUGCAAGUAGAACGCUGAAGGAGGAGCUUGCUCUUCUGGAUGAGUUGCGAACGGGUGAGGAACGCGUAGGUAACCUGCCUGGUAGCGGGGGAUAACUAUUGGAAACGAUAGCUAAUACCGCAUAAUAUUGACUAUUGCAUGAUAGUCAAUUGAAAGGUGCAAAUGCACCACUACCAGAUGGACCUGCGUUGUAUUAGCUAGUUGGUGGGGUAACGGCUCACCAAGGCGACGAUACAUAGCCGACCUGAGAGGGUGAUCGGCCACACUGGGACUGAGACACGGCCCAGACUCCUACGGGAGGCAGCAGUAGGGAAUCUUCGGCAAUGGACGGAAGUCUGACCGAGCAACGCCGCGUGAGUGAAGAAGGUUUUCGGAUCGUAAAGCUCUGUUGUAAGAGAAGAACGAGUGUGAGAGUGGAAAGUUCACACU
RNAcentral lists this ribosomal RNA (456 nucleotides) under Streptococcus cristatus. Its description in RNAcentral is "bacterial SSU rRNA". It matches the Rfam family "Bacterial small subunit ribosomal RNA", at positions 28 to 470 of the family's 1533-position model. Lineage: Bacteria; Bacillati; Bacillota; Bacilli; Lactobacillales; Streptococcaceae. The record is from RNAcentral.